This 103-nucleotide non-coding RNA is filed under the name Dehalogenimonas sp. Its description in RNAcentral is "TPP sequence". It matches the Rfam family "TPP riboswitch aptamer (THI element)". From Rfam's summary of the family: Vitamin B(1) in its active form thiamin pyrophosphate (TPP) is an essential coenzyme that is synthesised by coupling of pyrimidine and thiazole moieties in bacteria. The previously detected thiamin-regulatory element, thi box was extended, resulting in a new, highly conserved RNA secondary structure, the THI element, which is widely distributed in eubacteria and also occurs in some archaea. Analysis of operon structures identified a large number of new candidate thiamin-regulated genes, mostly transporters, in various prokaryotic organisms. The record is from RNAcentral. Lineage: Bacteria; Bacillati; Chloroflexota; Dehalococcoidia; Dehalococcoidales; Dehalococcoidaceae.
CCAGACCGCUAGGGGUGCGCGCCGCUGAGAGUCUCCGGGAUUGGGGACAACCCUGGCACCUGAACUCGGUAAUGCGAGCGUAGGGAAGCGGAGGUGUUUGCCA